RNAcentral lists this ribosomal RNA (443 nucleotides) under uncultured bacterium. Its description in RNAcentral is "partial 16S ribosomal RNA". It matches the Rfam family "Bacterial small subunit ribosomal RNA", at positions 338 to 795 of the family's 1533-position model. The record is from RNAcentral.
CCUACGGGUGGCAGCAGUGGGGAAUAUUGGGCAAUGGGCGCGAGCCUGACCCAGCAACGCCGCGUGAAGGAGGAAGGCUUUCGGGUUGUAAACUUCUUUUCUCAGGGACGAAGCAAGUGACAGUACCUGCGGAAUAAGCCACGGCGAACUACGUGCCAGCAGCCGCGGUAAUACGUAGGUGGCAAGCGUUAUCCGGAUUUACUGGGUGUAAAGGGCGUGUAGGCGGGACUGCAAGUCAGAUGUGAAAACCACGGGCUCAACCUGUGGCCUGCAUUUGAAACUGUAGUUCUUGAGUACUGGAGAGGCAGACGGAAUGCCUGGUGUAGCGGUGAAAUGCGUAGAUAUUAGGAGGAACACCAGUGGCGAAGGCGGUCUGCUGGACAGCAACUGACGCUGAGGCGCGAAAGCGUGGGGAGCAAACAGGAUUAGAUACCCUAGUAGUC